UGCAAGUCGAACGGUGAAGGAGGAGCUUGCUCCUUUGGAUCAGUGGCGAACGGGUGAGUAACACGUGAGUAACCUGCCCCAGACUCUGGGAUAAGCACUGGAAACGGUGUCUAAUACCGGAUACGAGCUUCAGCCGCAUGGCUAGGAGCUGGAAAGAAUUUCGGUCUGGGAUGGACUCGCGGCCUAUCAGCUAGUUGGUGAGGUAAUGGCUCACCAAGGCGACGACGGGUAGCCGGCCUGAGAGGGUGACCGGCCACACUGGGACUGAGACACGGCCCAGACUCCUACGGGAGGCAGCAGUGGGGAAUAUUGCACAAUGGGCGCAAGCCUGAUGCAGCAACGCCGCGUGAGGGACGACGGCCUUCGGGUUGUAAACCUCUUUUAGUAGGGAAGAAGCGAAAGUGACGGUACCUGCAGAAAAAGCACCGGCUAACUACGUGCCAGCAGCCGCGGUAAUACGUAGGGUGCAAGCGUUAUCCGGAAUUAUUGGGCGUAAAGAGCUCGUAGGCGGUUUGUCGCGUCUGCUGUGAAAACUGGAGGCUCAACCUCCAGCCUGCAGUGGGUACGGGCAGACUAGAGUGCGGUAGGGGAGAUUGGAAUUCCUGGUGUAGCGGUGGAAUGCGCAGAUAUCAGGAGGAACACCGAUGGCGAAGGCAGAUCUCUGGGCCGUAACUGACGCUGAGGAGCGAAAGCAUGGGGAGCGAACAGGAUUAGAUACCCUGGUAGUCCAUGCCGUAAACGUUGGGAACUAGAUGUAGGGACCAUUCCACGGUUUCUGUGUCGCAGCUAACGCAUUAAGUUCCCCGCCUGGGGAGUACGGCCGCAAGGCUAAAACUCAAAGGAAUUGACGGGGGCCCGCACAAGCGGCGGAGCAUGCGGAUUAAUUCGAUGCAACGCGAAGAACCUUACCAAGGCUUGACAUAUACCGGAAAAGUUCAGAAAUGUUCUCCCCGCAAGGUCGGUAUACAGGUGGUGCAUGGUUGUCGUCAGCUCGUGUCGUGAGAUGUUGGGGUUAAGUCCCGCAACGAGCGCAACCCUCGUUCUAUGUUGCCAG
RNAcentral lists this ribosomal RNA (1054 nucleotides) under Frigoribacterium sp. 1152G8. Its description in RNAcentral is "bacterial SSU rRNA". It matches the Rfam family "Bacterial small subunit ribosomal RNA", at positions 56 to 1121 of the family's 1533-position model. The record is from RNAcentral. Lineage: Bacteria; Bacillati; Actinomycetota; Actinomycetes; Micrococcales; Microbacteriaceae.